AGCUUUAUGGUACAAAUUUUAUAUAAAGUUAUUUCUGCCCAGUGAUAAAUUUUAACGGCCGCAGUACCUUGACUGUGCUAAGGUAGCAUAAUAAAUUGACUUUUAAUUGAAGUCUAGAAUGAAUGGAAAAAUGGAAAAAGUCUGUCUGGUUUAAUAAUUACUUUUAACUUACUAUUAAGGUGAAAAUACCUUAACUUUUGAUAAAAGACGAGAAGACCCUUAGAAUUUUUAUAAAAAAAUUAUUUAGUUAUUAUAUUUUUGUUGGGGUGACAGAGUAGAAAAAGAAAUAUAUAACCUACUUUAAUAAUUACAAACCAAGUUAUAUACUAUUUAAGAAAAAAUUACCUUAGGGAUAACAGCAUAAUUCUUUUUAGAGAUUGUGACCUCGAUGUUGGACUAGGAACUUUAUAAUUAGCAAUUAAAAUUGACAGUUCUGUUCGAACUACUUUAUCCU
This 454-nucleotide ribosomal RNA is filed under the name Tayloria sp. 'Udzungwa'. Its description in RNAcentral is "partial 16S ribosomal RNA". The stretch from base 1 to 133 matches the Rfam family "Archaeal large subunit ribosomal RNA", at positions 1909 to 2083 of the family's 2987-position model. The record is from RNAcentral. Lineage: Eukaryota; Metazoa; Mollusca; Gastropoda; Stylommatophora; Streptaxidae.